Non-coding RNA from Zootoca vivipara (common lizard), 876 nucleotides. NCBI's taxonomy places the organism in Eukaryota, Metazoa, Chordata, Lepidosauria, Squamata, Lacertidae. The record is from RefSeq and is a predicted model, not a curated record.
CGUGAUGUUUUGCACCUUUUAAGCAGAGCAAGAUGGCUCUCUCCGAUACAGGGGAGGUGUUGGAAUGCGCCGUGGCUUUGGUCACCCGGACUUUCAAACGAAGGCUAGCUUUGCAUCAGAUCCCACAAGGCGGUCUGAAAAGGGGCUGGAAGGAAAAUGAGCUGGGUGGAAUGGAGAUAUCGCUCAGCCUCUAACUGCUUCUAAAUUGAGAUAUGGAAGCAACUUGCAAGAUAUGGAAGCAACUUGCAAGGCCGCCAUAGUAUGAACCCGGACCAAGCUGAGACUGCCAACUGGAGGACCGAGGAUACAGAACUACUAUAAUCGGCGAAUCCGAAAAGCAAAAUUCUGCGACCACUUAGCAACGUCCUUUCCCGCAGUGAGCAGCGGCGCGCACUUUGCAGCGCAAACAAGCAAACGCAUUUCUUUACUCAGAAGUAUGGAGCGGGGCGGAGCCACAGUCCGGAGCGUUUUCCCGCUUAGGUCCAAUGUUGUCGCGUUACUGGGCAGCAGCAGAGGAAGACGCACCUUUGCUGCUGCUGCUGCUGCACGCCUCGCUCAGCCCGCUCCACCCGUGCAGCAAGGUGAGGUGUUGAGUGGCCUUGUAAGUGGUUAAAACUAAUACAUCAGAGUGUACUUCUGAUUCGUUUUCUAAGUGCUGGGAGUUAACAGUGUUACCUGGAUCCGUGACAUUUGUAUUACUGCACCCCCUCUUUCAGGUUGACUGAGAAGCUGUGAAAGUUGGAUCCAGAGCUUUGACACACUAGAAAUAGCACGUUUUCAUGCAAAGCAAAAUGUGGACAACCCACGAGGGUGAAACUACAAUAAGCAGACCAUGUGAAUCCACUUGUUUCCCAUAAAACCUUUUAAGCAACAUGA